CAAAGUUCAACAAUGUCAUCAGUGGCAUACAAAUUAUAAGCCUUUUACCUCUUAAAACCUUGUCCACACUUAAGUAUUUUGUUCACUUUCUCUUUUCUAGGGUACACCACCAACUGUAGUGUAGUUCCCAUUCAUUUCAUAAACCCAAACAUCAAUUUGUAAUUGACCUUACCAAAUAGUGCUCAUGAGGAAUCAUGCAGCUAGGUUAGUAUGCCAUAUCCGUUGCAAACAUCAUAAAAAAUAGCAAGUUUGCAUAACUAGCAAUGCCUUAAGCACCAAAACCAUAUUUUAAGGAUAAAUGUGGUUCUACCAUUUAAAGUUUUGAAAUAUUAACAAAAAAAUUAUGGGCAUAAAUAUCAGUUGAAAACUAAGCAUGCACCCAAAAAGAUCCCAGGAAAGUUGUAACUAAUGAUUGCAUAACAACCAGCAAACAUACUUGGCAAGAUGAACAUGCACAUGCUCACAAGUAAUAAGAGCACAGAAAAUGCUUAGCGCCAAGUGGUCCCUUCAAACUCUGACACAAUCACCCGUUUUCUGCAUUUAAUUCCCCUGUUAACGUGAAAAAUACGACUUAAAGCAAAAAUCCACGAGCACUCGAGCAAAAUGCGCAACAAAACCACAAGAGAAACAAAUUGCAAUCCCUUGCCCCAAGCGAAGAAACCCUAAUUUUAAUGAAUCAAAGCAGAAUUUGCACAAAUUGAACAUUGCACACCAGUUCUAGGGUUUCCUAAGAAGAGGGAAAUAAACCCAAAAAUUGGAGCAAUAAUCACCUGAAUUACAGAAUUGGGAAGC
RNAcentral lists this unclassified non-coding RNA (792 nucleotides) under Hevea brasiliensis (rubber tree). The record is from RNAcentral. Lineage: Eukaryota; Viridiplantae; Streptophyta; Magnoliopsida; Malpighiales; Euphorbiaceae.